This is an unclassified non-coding RNA of Pongo abelii (Sumatran orangutan), 117 nucleotides long. It matches the Rfam family "Metazoan signal recognition particle RNA". From Rfam's summary of the family: The signal recognition particle (SRP) is a universally conserved ribonucleoprotein. The record is from Ensembl. Lineage: Eukaryota; Metazoa; Chordata; Mammalia; Primates; Hominidae.
ACUGGGCAUGGUGGCUCAUGCCUGUAAUCCCAUCACCUUGGGAGGCUGAGGCGGGUGGAUCACCUGAGGUCAGGAGUUCGAGACUAGCCUGGCCAACAUGGUGAAACCCCGCCUCUA